GACAGCCCCGUACACAAAAGCGCAUGUGCUGUGAGCUCGAUGAGUAGGGCGGGACACGUGGUAUCCUGUCUGAAUAUGGGGGGACCAUCCUCCAAGGCUAAAUACUCCUGACUGACCGAUAGUGAACCAGUACCGUGAGGGAAAGGCGAAAAGAACCCCGGCGAGGGGAGUGAAAAAGAACCUGAAACCGUGUACGUACAAGCAGUGGGAGCCCCACCACCAAAGCAUUUGCUGUACCGCGUUGACGGAGCGAAGCGACGUCAAACCGAUAAAACAGCAGUGUAAAGUGAGCCGCAGGGCGCUUUGCGCGACAGCGCAAAGGCAGGCGGUUUCGCGUAGCGAAAGCGAAUGCUUUGGGGUGGGGUGACUGCGUACCUUUUGUAUAAUGGGUCAGCGACUUAUAUUCUGUAGCAAGGUUAACCGAAUAGGGGAGCCGGAGGGAAACCGAGUCUUAAUUGGGCGUUAAGUUGCAGGGUAUAGACCCGAAACCCGGUGAUCUAGCCAUGGGCAGGUUGAAGGUUGGGUAACACUAACUGGAGGACCGAACCGACUAAUGUUGAAAAAUUAGCGGAUGACCUGUGGCUGGGGGUGAAAGGCCAAUCAAACCGGGAGAUAGCUGGUUCUCCCCGAAAGCUAUUUAGGUAGCGCCUCGUGAAUUCAUCUCCGGGGGUAGAGCACUGUUUCGGCUAGGGGGCCAUCCCGGCUUACCAACCCGAUGCAAACUGCGAAUACCGGAGAAUGUUAUCACGGGAGACACACGGCGGGUGCUAACGUCCGUCGUGAAGAGGGAAACAACCCAGACCGCCAGCUAAGGUCCCAAAGUCAUGGUUAAGUGGGAAACGAUGUGGGAAGGCCCAGACAGCCAGGAUGUUGGCUUAGAAGCAGCCAUCAUUUAAAGAAAGCGUAAUAGCUCACUGGUCGAGUCGGCCUGCGCGGAAGAUGUAACGGGGCUAAACCAUGCACCGAAGCUGCGGCAGCGACACUGUGUGUUGUUGGGUAGGGGAGCGUUCUGUAAGCCUGUGAAGGUGUGUCGUGAGGCAUGCUGGAGGUAUCAGAAGUGCGAAUGCUGACAUAAGUAACGAUAAAGCGGGUGAAAAGCCCGCUCGCCGGAAGACCAAGGGUUCCUGUCCAACGUUAAUCGGGGCAGGGUGAGUCGACCCCUAAGGCGAGGCCGAAAGGCGUAGUCGAUGGGAAACGGGUUAAUAUUCCCGUACUUGGUGUUACUGCGAAGGGGGGACGGAGAAGGCUAUGUUGGCCGGGCGACGGUUGUCCCGGUUUAAGCGUGUAGGUGUGUGUUCCAGGUAAAUCCGGUUCACUUUAACACUGAGGCGUGACGACGAGGCACUACGGUGCUGAAGCAACAAAUGCCCUGCUUCCAGGAAAAGCCUCUAAGCAUCAGGUAACAUCAAAUCGUACCCCAAACCGACACAGGUGGUCAGGUAGAGAAUACCAAGGCGCUUGAGAGAACUCGGGUGAAGGAACUAGGCAAAAUGGUGCCGUAACUUCGGGAGAAGGCACGCUGACACGUAGGUGAAGUGAUUUACUCAUGGAGCUGAAGUCAGUCGAAGAUACCAGCUGGCUGCAACUGUUUAUUAAAAACACAGCACUGUGCAAACACGAAAGUGGACGUAUACGGUGUGACGCCUGCCCGGUGCCGGAAGGUUAAUUGAUGGGGUCAGCGCAAGCGAAGCUCCUGAUCGAAGCCCCGGUAAACGGCGGCCGUAACUAUAACGGUCCUAAGGUAGCGAAAUUCCUUGUCGGGUAAGUUCCGACCUGCACGAAUGGCGUAAUGAUGGCCAGGCUGUCUCCACCCGAGACUCAGUGAAAUUGAACUCGCUGUGAAGAUGCAGUGUACCCGCGGCAAGACGGAAAGACCCCGUGAACCUUUACUAUAGCUUGACACUGAACAUUGAGCCUUGAUGUGUAGGAUAGGUGGGAGGCUUUGAAGUGUGGACGCCAGUCUGCAUGGAGCCGACCUUGAAAUACCACCCUUUAAUGUUUGAUGUUCUAACGUGGACCCGUUACCCGGGUUGCGGACAGUGUCUGGUGGGUAGUUUGACUGGGGCGGUCUCCUCCUAAAGAGUAACGGAGGAGCACGAAGGUUGGCUAAUCCUGGUCGGACAUCAGGAGGUUAGUGCAAUGGCAUAAGCCAGCUUGACUGCGAGCGUGACGGCGCGAGCAGGUGCGAAAGCAGGUCAUAGUGAUCCGGUGGUUCUGAAUGGAAGGGCCAUCGCUCAACGGAUAAAAGGUACUCCGGGGAUAACAGGCUGAUACCGCCCAAGAGUUCAUAUCGACGGCGGUGUUUGGCACCUCGAUGUCGGCUCAUCACAUCCUGGGGCUGAAGUAGGUCCCAAGGGUAUGGCUGUUCGCCAUUUAAAGUGGUACGCGAGCUGGGUUUAGAACGUCGUGAGACAGUUCGGUCCCUAUCUGCCGUGGGCGCUGGAGAACUGAGGGGGGCUGCUCCUAGUACGAGAGGACCGGAGUGGACGCAUCACUGGUGUUCGGGUUGUCAUGCCAAUGGCACUGCCCGGUAGCUAAAUGCGGAAGAGAUAAGUGCUGAAAGCAUCUAAGCACGAAACUUGCCCCGAGAUGAGUUCUCCCUGAGACUUA
RNAcentral lists this ribosomal RNA (2610 nucleotides) under Salmonella enterica subsp. enterica serovar Enteritidis. Its description in RNAcentral is "bacterial LSU rRNA". It matches the Rfam family "Bacterial large subunit ribosomal RNA", at positions 366 to 2824 of the family's 2925-position model. Lineage: Bacteria; Pseudomonadati; Pseudomonadota; Gammaproteobacteria; Enterobacterales; Enterobacteriaceae. The record is from RNAcentral.